Molecule: ribosomal RNA, 301 nt
Filed under: uncultured bacterium
Lineage: Bacteria
Description: partial 16S ribosomal RNA
Rfam family: Bacterial small subunit ribosomal RNA
Source: RNAcentral
CAGUCGCCGCGGGAAUACAGAGGGUGCGAGCGUUAAUCGGAUUUACUGGGCGUAAAGCGUGCGUAAGCGGCUUCUUAAGUCGGAUGUGAAAUCCCUGAGCUUAACUUAGGAAUUGCAUUCGAUACUGGGAAGCUAGAGUAUGGGAGAGGAUGGUAGAAUUCCAGGUGUAGCGGUGAAAUGCGUAGAGAUCUGGAGGAAUACCGAUGGCGAAGGCAGCCAUCUGGCCUAAUACUGACGCUGAGGUACGAAAGCAUGGGGAGCAAACAGGAUUAGAUACCCGGGUAGUCCCUGUCUCUUAUAC